GACGAACGCUGGCGGCGUGCCUAAUACAUGCAAGUAGAACGCUGAAGAGAGGAGCUUGCUCUUCUUGGAUGAGUUGCGAACGGGUGAGUAACGCGUAGGUAACCUGCCUUGUAGCGGGGGAUAACUAUUGGAAACGAUAGCUAAUACCGCAUAACAAUGGAUGACACAUGUCAUUUAUUUGAAAGGGGCAAUUGCUCCACUACAAGAUGGACCUGCGUUGUAUUAGCUAGUAGGUGAGGUAAUGGCUCACCUAGGCGACGAUACAUAGCCGACCUGAGAGGGUGAUCGGCCGCACUGGGACGGAGACCCGGCCCAGACUCCUACGGGAGGCAGCAGUAGGGAAUCUUCGGCAAUGGGGGCAACCCUGACCGAGCAACGCCGCGUGAGUGAAGAAGGUUUUCGGAUCGUAAAGCUCUGUUGUAAGUCAAGAACGGGUGUGAGAGUGGAAAGUUCACACUGUGACGGUAGCUUACCAGAAAGGGACGGCUAACUACGUG
This 497-nucleotide ribosomal RNA is filed under the name uncultured bacterium. RNAcentral describes it as "partial 16S ribosomal RNA". It matches the Rfam family "Bacterial small subunit ribosomal RNA", at positions 28 to 507 of the family's 1533-position model. The record is from RNAcentral.